CCUACGGGGGGCAGCAGUGAGGAAUAUUGGUCAAUGGGCUUACGCCUGAACCAGCCAAGUCGCGUGAAGGAUGACGGCCCUACGGGUUGUAAACUUCUUUUGUCAGGGAGCAAUUGGGUCCACGCGUGGGCUUAGCGAGAGUACCUGAAGAAAAAGCAUCGGCUAACUCCGUGCCAGCACCCGCGUUAAUACGGAGGAGGCGAGCGUUAUCCGGAUUUAUUGGGUUUAAGGGGUGCGUAGGCGGAAUAUCAAGUCAGCGGUAAAAAUUCGGGGCUAAACCCAGUGGUGCAGUUGAAACUGAUGUUCUUGAGUGCGCGAGAGGUAUGCGGAAUGCGUGGUGUAGCGGUGAAAUGCAUAGAUAUCACGAAGAACUCCGAUUGCGAAGGCAGCAUACCGGCGGCGAUCUGACGCUGAGGCACGAAAGCGUGGGUAUCGAACAGGAUUAGAUACCCUAGUAGUC
This 460-nucleotide ribosomal RNA is filed under the name uncultured bacterium. RNAcentral describes it as "partial 16S ribosomal RNA". It matches the Rfam family "Bacterial small subunit ribosomal RNA", at positions 338 to 795 of the family's 1533-position model. The record is from RNAcentral.